AUUGAACGCUCGCGGGAUGCUCUACACAUGCAAGUCGAACGGCAGCGCGGACUUCGGUCUGGCGGCGAGUGGCGAACGGGUGAGUAAUGUAUCGGAACGUGCCCAGUAGCGGGGGAUAACUACGCGAAAGCGUAGCUAAUACCGCAUACGCCCUACGGGGGAAAGCAGGGGAUCGUAGGACCUUGCACUAUUGGAGCGGCCGAUAUCGGAUUAGCUAGUUGGUGAGGUAACGGCUCACCAAGGCGACGAUCCGUAGCUGGUUUGAGAGGACGACCAGCCACACUGGGACUGAGACACGGCCCAGACUCCUACGGGAGGCAGCAGUGGGGAAUUUUGGACAAUGGGGGCAACCCUGAUCCAGCCAUCCCGCGUGUGCGAUGAAGGCCUUCGGGUUGUAAAGCACUUUUGGCAGGAAAGAAACGUCGCGGGCUAAUACCCCGUGGAACUGACGGUACCUGCAGAAUAAGCACCGGCUAACUACGUG
Molecule: ribosomal RNA, 484 nt
Filed under: uncultured bacterium
Lineage: Bacteria
Description: partial 16S ribosomal RNA
Rfam family: Bacterial small subunit ribosomal RNA
Source: RNAcentral